Brachypodium distachyon (stiff brome) is the source of this 1989-nucleotide long non-coding RNA. RefSeq lists it as uncharacterized. The record is from RefSeq and is a predicted model, not a curated record. The transcript has 2 exons. Lineage: Eukaryota; Viridiplantae; Streptophyta; Magnoliopsida; Poales; Poaceae.
UCGGAAGUCUACUCUAUCUUGCUGAAUCAUAAGUGCCUCCUGAUCAGCCACGAGCCACCAAAAAUUGAGGGAGUUGGCUGUCUUCGACGCGGCAUUUCACAUUAUUGAGUUCAUCCCAGUUGAGCAGAUUUGGAGAUUGACAAACCAAAGCAGGCUUUUGGAAUCGAGGAGCCCCAAGGAUCCUCUUUGGCUGUCAGUUUGUAUAUCAGAUCUACUCCCAAGUUUAUUACUAAAUGUUUAUAACUGUAUAUAAUUAGCUACAUUUUGGGGCAUGCAUUCCAGUCUAAUGAGAGCAUUUUUAAUAUUCCCUUUUCAAGAUUACACAUGUUCAUCUUUUGGCUAGCAUAGAUGAUCCAGGCUCCAGAGUUUGCAUUUUUUUUAAACAAAUUUCCAUAUUAAACCUACUUAUCUUUUGCUUGUACGAUAGGAUUGUAAGUAUCCUUUUCUGUUUCUUUUCACUUAUAUGGAUGCUAAUUGUGCUAACAUCUCAGAGAGAAGAAAAGCCGCAAAGUCAAGAGUAUGCUGCAGAACAUGGUUUGCCUACACUGAAAAAUGUCCUACUGCACAAGAUAAAGGGUUAUAAUUGCUGCCUGCAAGAGCUGAGGAGUUUCUUAGAACCCUUUUUUCACUUUGUUCUUUGUUGUAGCAUUUGUAAGAGUCGUCAUUUGGGCAGCCAUUUUCUGAAUCAUAGGAUUCGUGCUCAAAUUAUUGUCAGCUGACCGACCUGUCAGCUUUGCAAAAAGUAGUUCCCGGAAGAAAAAUGCAGCGAGUUUGGCAAAUGCUCUCUUUUUUUGUUGAGCAAUCAUGCCAUCUAUCAACGAAUUUGUAUUUAUUAUUUAUACUUUUUAACAGAUUUUUCUAUUACUCCUUAAUUGUACUGAUGCACUUAAGAUGAUUUUUCCUGACAUAUCAAAACAUAGAAGUAUUUAUGGUUACAGUCUUUAGAGUGGUUGAUCACACUCUCUUCCUUUUUUAAUAACCGGUGUACUUUCAAUUAUGCAUGUCAAUGAUAUGCCCUCUUCUUAAACAAUGUAUAUAGCAUUGUAUGUCAUUCAUUUAUAGAAGUGUCAGACAAUUUUUUUUAAGUGGUGCCAUCUUUUUGUCGUUCUGUAGCAACGCACGGGCACUUAACUAUUAAUUUGUUAAUUCUGUUUAUUAGUUUAUCUGCCUUCAGUUUGUCACCUUGGUAUCUUAUACUAUUACAUUACGUUGCCACUCUUUUGUAGAGUCAUUGAAGAAGUCAUCAAAUAAAGUGUCUGUUCUUUCGAAGUGCUCCAUGUGCACAUUUGACGAUCAUGAAACUAUGGUAUAUUGUGAGAUUUGUGGGGUUUUCUGGGAAUCUUUCGUCAAAUCUGCCAAGGAUGGUUUGAUAAAAGGUUCCAUCAAUGGAGUAUCAAGUGAUUCUGGGACACACACAGUGUCAAGCUCUCAUUGCAGUGUACGACAAACUUUCGUGGUGAUUCCGAGAAAAAGUAUGCUAGCACAUCCAAAGGAUCUGGACAUACACAUGUUAUCAUUGAGAUAUUAGGCACUUGAGAGAUAUGCCUCCUGUGUGUCAAAUUCUUCAGACAAAUGGAUAUCAGGCACUUGACCUUUACAAAUUCUUCAGACAAACGGUACUCAACUCAGUACAAUGGUGGCAGAACAGGUACUCCUUGAUAUCUACCAUGAGAAAAAGACAAAAUUACUGAUCCAUUAAUAUGUGUACUUCACUCAAUCAUGUCGCUGGCAGUUAGAUUGAUUCGUGCAAUAGAUCUUGUGCAGCAGCCUCUUUGGUGCUGCACCAAGUAAUUUCAUAUUGCUACCACAUGGAAGCUUCUCUAGAUAGCACUGGGGGUGAUUCAGUUCUAGGUAAAGAAAAUAAAAGGUUAUAAUGCAUUAUAGGAGCAGGGCAAGAGUAGUAAGGUGAAGGCUUAUUCCCUUGCACUAAUCAAUCAUUGGCUAGCUGGACAAUGGACAUGAAUCAGUCAGUCAGCUUCUAUGAUAAAA